This 173-nucleotide unclassified non-coding RNA is filed under the name soil metagenome. RNAcentral's name for it is "partial contains 5.8S ribosomal RNA, internal transcribed spacer 2, and large subunit ribosomal RNA". The record is from RNAcentral.
AACGAGGCCGACCUGCGGCUGAGUUACCUGCGGAGGGAUCAUUAAUAAAUGUUACUUCGGUAACUUAAUUAAUCCCUAACACCUGUGCAUCUUGUCGCUUCGGCGUCAUUUUAUAAACAUCAGUGUAAUGAAUGUAAAGUAUUAUAACAAAUACAACUUUUAACAAUGGAUCU